UGAAAAGGCAGGCCAGCAUGGCCUUCUCUGGACACAAUCCAGGAGCUGGCCAGAGAUGAGGAUGGUACUGGGGAAGAUAGCAGAAAAUGACGGAGAGAGAGGUAGAGAAUGUGACGGAACAUGGACAUUAUGAUUGAAGAACAUUAAAACCAGAAAACAUCCUGAUCUUCUGAAGAUAAGCUACACAGAGUAAAUCUGGUACUGCAAGCCUCCCUGGUCUAAUUCUCCAGCCCAAAGAAGGUGACACUAUGAAGACUUAUGAAGACUGUGGAUGGCAAAUCUGAUGCUUGGAGAAGAAAGGAAACCUGAACAGCAUUUCAUGUAAAGGUAAGAGCUGGUUUAUCGUUUUACAACCAGAGAAAGAAGCCUCAACAGACCUCCCCCACCCCACUCUCCCCCACCCCCUCAGGACUGAAGGAACACGUCUUGCUGUGGCUGGUCAAACGGAACCAAGUCAGGCGUUUCAGUGAGGUUUGGUCCCCUUCAACCAGCUACUGCGCCGUGAACUGAGCCAGCAGGAGACUCUGGAGAGCAACACAGAACUCUGAAAUACAAGUGACAGCUGAUGUAUUAGUGUCCUUAAAUAAUGCAACAGUAUGUUUUUUUCCCCCCAUACACAGUCUUAAUGAGGCUCUAGAAAAGAUUUUUGGCUCAGGGCUCCCUUUGCUAUCUCAGUGGGAUUUUUUUUCCCUGGCUACAUAAUUCUGGACAAGGGACCAAACCACCUAGGAUAUGGCCACUCAUGAAAGCUCACUGGGUCAUAAAACAUCACUAUGAAGGCGAGAAUGAUGAAGAGACAGGACAAGGAACCACUCUGGUAGGUUUUGUUUCUGAAAUCAUAUCCAAGAUCAAUGUCAUCAGUGAGAAUAGCCCUUACACCAGCUCUUCCAGCGAGACAGGGAGUAUUGUCCUGCUAGAACAGUUUCAGUUCAGCCUCACUCCCACUAUUCUGUGGUGACAUCUGGUCUUCAAGCUCCUGUCUGCACAUGAGGGGAAGGGAUGAACAGUCAUACUCAUCUAACCCCCCCAUCUGUUAGAGACUCCAUGUUUAGACUCCAAACCCCACUGUGUUCAGGCCCCACCAGUCACAUUACCCAAGCUUGAAGGCUUAAACAUGCAUCCAGGCCAGAACUAAGACUGCACCUGCAGUGAGAUUGAGUCAUGCCAGUCUAAAAGUCAAAUUUUCUUCUAGGCCAGUGUAGUCUUACAACUGAAGAUUUCUCUGAAGGCAUUUUUACUUCUAGUUGUUCAUGAAUCCAUAAUCAUUUGUCUUACUGUACAUUUUUUUUAAAUAAAGAUCAACUGUUUAACAGUCA
Long non-coding RNA from Lepisosteus oculatus (spotted gar), 1316 nucleotides. RefSeq lists it as uncharacterized. The record is from RefSeq and is a predicted model, not a curated record. Lineage: Eukaryota; Metazoa; Chordata; Actinopteri; Semionotiformes; Lepisosteidae.